GACGAACGCUGGCGGCGUGCUUAACACAUGCAAGUCGAACGGAAAGGCCCUGCUUUUGUGGGGUGCUCGAGUGGCGAACGGGUGAGUAACACGUGAGUAACCUGCCCUUGACUUUGGGAUAACUUCAGGAAACUGGGGCUAAUACCGGAUAGGAGCUCCUGCUGCAUGGUGGGGGUUGGAAAGUUUCGGCGGUUGGGGAUGGACUCGCGGCUUAUCAGCUUGUUGGUGGGGUAGUGGCUUACCAAGGCUUUGACGGGUAGCCGGCCUGGGAGGGUGACCGGCCACAUUGGACCUGGAAUGCGGCCCAGACUCCUACGGGAGGCAGCAGUGGGGAAUAUUGCACAAUGGGCUGAAGCCUGAUGCAGCAACGCCGCGUGCGGGAUGACGGCCUUCGGGUUGUAAACCGCUUUCGCCUGUGACGAAGCGUGAGUGACGGUAAUGGGUAAAGAAGCACCGGCUAACUACGUG
RNAcentral lists this ribosomal RNA (468 nucleotides) under uncultured bacterium. Its description in RNAcentral is "partial 16S ribosomal RNA". It matches the Rfam family "Bacterial small subunit ribosomal RNA", at positions 28 to 507 of the family's 1533-position model. The record is from RNAcentral.